Molecule: ribosomal RNA, 1397 nt
Filed under: metagenome
Description: bacterial SSU rRNA
Rfam family: Bacterial small subunit ribosomal RNA
Source: RNAcentral
GGCGAACGGGUGAGUAAUGCAUCGGAACGUACCUUUCAGUGGGGGAUAACGUAGCGAAAGUUACGCUAAUACCGCAUAUUCUGUGAGCAGGAAAGCAGGGGAUCGCAAAACCUUGCGCUGAUGGAGCGGCCGAUGUCAGAUUAGCUAGUUGGUGGGGUAAAGGCUCACCAAGGCGACGAUCUGUAGCGGGUCUUAGAGGAUGAUCCGCCACACUGGAACUGAGACACGGUCCAGACUCCUACGGGAGGCAGCAGUGGGGAAUUUUGGACAAUGGGCGCAAGCCUGAUCCAGCCAUGCCGCGUGAGUGAAGAAGGCCUUCGGGUUGUAAAGCCCUCUCGGCCGGGAAAAAAUCGCUUGGGUUAAUACCCUGAGUGGAUGAUGGUACCGGAAUAAGAAGCACCGGCUAACUACGUGCCAGCAGCCGCGGUAAUACGUAGGGUGCGAGCGUUAAUCGGAAUUACUGGGCGUAAAGCGUGCGCAGGCGGUUUUGUAAGACAGGCGUGAAAUCCCCGGGCUCAACCUGGGAACUGCGUUUGUGACUGCAAGGCUAGAGUAUGGCAGAGGGGGGUGGGAUUCCACGUGUAGCAGUGAAAUGCGUAGAGAUGUGGAGGAACACCAAUGGCGAAGGCAGCCCCCUGGGCCAAUACUGACGCUCAUGCACGAAAGCGUGGGGAGCAAACAGGAUUAGAUACCCUGGUAGUCCACGCCCUAAACGAUGUCAACUAGGUGUUGGGUGGGUAAAACCAUUUGGUACCGUAGCUAACGCGUGAAGUUGACCGCCUGGGGAGUACGGCCGCAAGGUUAAAACUCAAAGGAAUUGACGGGGACCCGCACAAGCGGUGGAUGAUGUGGAUUAAUUCGAUGCAACGCGAAAAACCUUACCUACCCCUGACAUGCCAGGAACUUGCCAGAGAUGGCUUGGUGCCCGAAAGGGAGCCUGGACACAGGUGCUGCAUGGCUGUCGUCAGCUCGCGUCGUGAGAUGUUGGGUUAAGUCCCGCAACGAGCGCAACCCUUGUCGUUAAUUGCCAUCAUUUAGUUGGGCACUUUAACGAGACUGCCGGUGACAAACCGGAGGAAGGUGGGGAUGACGUCAAGUCCUCAUGGCCCUUAUGGGUAGGGCUUCACACGUCAUACAAUGGUCGGUACAAAGGGUUGCCAAGCCGCGAGGCGGAGCCAAUCCCAGAAAGCCGAUCGUAGUCCGGAUCGCAGGCUGCAACUCGCCUGCGUGAAGUCGGAAUCGCUAGUAAUCGUGGAUCAGCAUGUCACGGUGAAUACGUUCCCGGGUCUUGUACACACCGCCCGUCACACCAUGGGAGCGGGUUCCGCCAGAAGUAGGUAGCCUAACCGCAGGGAGGGCGCUUACCACGGCGGGGUUCGUGACUGGGGUGAAGUCGG